This 97-nucleotide transfer RNA is filed under the name Laccaria bicolor S238N-H82. It matches the Rfam family "tRNA". From Rfam's summary of the family: Transfer RNA (tRNA) molecules are approximately 80 nucleotides in length. Their secondary structure includes four short double-helical elements and three loops (D, anti-codon, and T loops). The record is from Rfam by way of RNAcentral. Lineage: Eukaryota; Fungi; Basidiomycota; Agaricomycetes; Agaricales; Hydnangiaceae.
GGGCACAUGGUGUAGUUGGUUAUCACGCCCGCUUAGCAUGUUGUAAAAGAUGAUUAGUUUCUGCGGGCGGUCCCCGGUUCAAUUCCGGGUGUGUCCA